This 1088-nucleotide long non-coding RNA is filed under the name Ananas comosus (pineapple). RNAcentral's name for it is "long non-coding RNA (ACOM_LNC042884)". The record is from RNAcentral. Lineage: Eukaryota; Viridiplantae; Streptophyta; Magnoliopsida; Poales; Bromeliaceae.
UGUUGGCUCCUAAGAUUUGGUCAUGGAUUUGAUUCAUGAGAUUUGGAUAUGGUUUGGUGUAUGGCUCAUAGGAUUUGGUGUAUGGUUUAUGAGAUUUGGUAUAUGGUCCAUGGGAUUUGGUCCAUGAGAUUUGGUUCAUGGGAUGUGGUUUCAUGAAAUUGGAUAUGGCUUAUGAGGUUUGGUUUAUGGUUCAUGAAUGAGGUUGGGUAUAUGAGAUUUGGUUCAUGAACUUGGAUAUGGUUUAUGGACUUGGUUCAUGGUUCAUGAACUUGGUUCAUGGUUCAUGAGGUUGGCUAUAUAGGAUUUGGUUCAUGAACUUGGAUAUGGUUCAUGGACUUGGUUUAUGGUUCAUGUACUUGGUUCAUGGUUCAUGAGGUUGGGUAUAUGGGAUUUGGUUCAUGAACUUGGAUAUGGUUCAUGGACUUGGUUUAUGGUUCAUGAACUUGGUUCAUGGUUCAUGAGGUUGGGUAUAUGGGAUUUGGUUCAUGAACUUGGAUAUGGUUCAUGGAUUAGGUAUACGAACUUGGUUAUGGUUCAUGAGAUUUGGUUCAUGUAUAUGGUUCAUAGUUUAUGGUUCAUAAAUUUGGUGUAUGGUUUAUGGUUCAUGGUGUGUGAACUUGGGUAUGGUUCGUGGUGUUUGGUUCACGAACUUGGUUCAUGGUUUAUGGGACUUGGGUAUGGUUCGUAGCGUUUAGUUCACGAACUUGGAUAAGCUUUAUGAACUUGGUUCAUGGUUUAUGGGAUUUGGUUCAUGAACUUGGGUAUGGUUCGUAGUGUUUGGUUCACGAACUUGGAUAAGCUUUAUAAACUUGGUUCAUGGUUUAUGGGAUUUGGUUAAUGAACUUGGGUAUGGUUCGUAGUGUUUGGUUCACGAACUUGAUUCAUGGUUUAUGGGACUUGGGUUUGGUUCGUGGUGUUUGGUUCACGAACUUGGUUCAUGGUUUAUGGGACUUGGGAAUGGUUCAUGAACUUGGUUUAUGAUUCAUGAACUUGGUUUAUGGUUUAUGGUCCAUAAGGUUUGGUAUAUGGUUCAUGAACUUGGUUUAUGGUUUAUGAAGUUGGGUAUAUUGGAUAUGGUUCAUGAACUU